UACGUAGGGGGCUAGCGUUGUCCGGAAUCAUUGGGCGUAAAGCGCGCGUAGGCGGCCUGGUAAGUCCGCUGUGAAAGUCAAAGGCUCAACCUUUGAAUGUCAGCGGAUACUGCCAGGCUAGAGUCCGGAAGAGGCGAGUGGAAUUCCUGGUGUAGCGGUGAAAUGCGCAGAUAUCAGGAGGAACACCGGUGGCGAAGGCGGGUCUCUGGGCCGUAACUGACGCUGAGGAGCGAAAGCGUGGGGAGCGAACAGG
Molecule: ribosomal RNA, 253 nt
Filed under: uncultured bacterium
Lineage: Bacteria
Description: partial 16S ribosomal RNA
Rfam family: Bacterial small subunit ribosomal RNA
Source: RNAcentral